GUACUGAUAAAGAGUCCCAAAAUAGGACGAAACAGUUUUCCAGUAC
This is a non-coding RNA of Trichobilharzia regenti, 46 nucleotides long. The record is from Rfam. NCBI's taxonomy places the organism in Eukaryota, Metazoa, Platyhelminthes, Trematoda, Strigeidida, Schistosomatidae.